GUUCUCGAAUAGGAGACUGAAAUAAUAAAAGCCUUCUAUAAAAGAAGUUAUUUUGAUGGCAUAUUAAAGGAUGAAGUAAAAGGAGAAGAGACUAACCCUAGACAGGAAGAAAAUAUGGGGAGUCAUUUCAGUUAUGAUGACUGUGAACACCGUGAAGAAGGGUGAGAAUCCAAGACAUUUUAAAGGGGGAAAAACUAACUAGAAUUGGUAUACGGAAUAAAUAUAACAUGAAGAAGAAAGAAGAGAUAUGUCAGGUUCAUAUGAAAUGGACAAUAUGAACUUUUUCUUUGAAUGCAUUUUAGAAAGAAAGAAAAGAGAGGAAUAGAGGGAGGAAGGACAUAAAAAAGAGAAGAGAGAGUGAGGGAAAGAGUAGAUUGCGGAGGAGUACUGGGAAGAGAUCCACAAGAGGUGAUCGAAGCAUUGCCAAACAGAAGCAAAAGCCAGGUUCGAUAAGGCACAAAGAGAACACAUUGAGCCUGCUGUGUUCCAGGCACUGUGCUAGAUGCUCAGUAUGCAGGAGUCAUCAGGACAUGGUGCUGGUCUUCAGAGAGCUUAUAGUCCCACGGUUGAGAUGAAUUGCAUGAAAAUGAAAUGAACCCAACUUAGCACCGCUCCACUUCAUGUUUCGUCUGUAUUCUGAGGGCCAGGGGCAAUUAUUAGGGAAGAUGGAAGACAAGGGUAGAGGAAGAUCCAGAACUGAGGACUGGUGUGGCUGAUUGGGGUAGUAGCCACAGAGGAAGUCAAAGGCACUAAGGAGGGCAGCACUGAAGUUUCAGGUGGGAAAGUCUUCAGCUUCACCAGUAGGCUAGGAAUGAGAGAAAGAAAGGAG
RNAcentral lists this long non-coding RNA (829 nucleotides) under Homo sapiens (human). Its description in RNAcentral is "HSALNT0218225". The record is from RNAcentral. Lineage: Eukaryota; Metazoa; Chordata; Mammalia; Primates; Hominidae.